Molecule: non-coding RNA, 682 nt
Organism: Artibeus jamaicensis (Jamaican fruit-eating bat)
Lineage: Eukaryota; Metazoa; Chordata; Mammalia; Chiroptera; Phyllostomidae
Source: the annotation of a RefSeq genome assembly
CUGAAGCUCUGAAAUAGGAUCCCAUCCCUGGAUUCCCAGGUGUUCCUGAAGUCUCGUCAGGACAGAACACAGACCACUCACCAUGAUAUUUGGGCUCAGCUGGGUUUUCCUUGUUACUGUUUUAACAGGUGUCCAGUGUGAAGUGCAGCUGGUGGAGUCUGGAGGAGGCUUGGUGAAGCCUGGGGGGUCUCUGAGACUCUCUUGUGUAGCCUCUGGAUUCACCUUCAGUAGCUACACGAUGCACUGGGUCCGCCAGGCACCAGAAAAAGGGCUGGAGUGGGUCUCAGCAAUUAAUAGUGAUGGUGGUAGCACAUACUAUGCCAACUCUGUGAAAGGCCGAUUCACCAUCUCCAGAAACAAUGGCAAGAAUGAGCUCUAUCUGCAAAUGAACAAUCUGAGAGCUGAAGACAUGGCCGUGUAUUACUGUGCAAGAGACACAGUGAGGGAAAGUCACUGUGAGCCCAGACACAAACUUUCCUGGAGCAGACAAACCAGCUGGGCUGCAGAGGAUACUCAGGACACUAGGGAGCGCUCAGGUCACAUUGAGCACUGGGUUCAUUUCAGGAACAGCUGCAAAUGCACAUUAAUUUUUGGUAUCCUGGCAGGGCCUGAUGAAUGGACAGCUCCACACAUGGAGGCUACUGACAGCUCCAAAAACUUCCAGGCUUCUGUAAAUGCAUAG